RNAcentral lists this transfer RNA (92 nucleotides) under Cyrtodactylus langkawiensis. Its description in RNAcentral is "tRNA-Cys". The record is from RNAcentral. Lineage: Eukaryota; Metazoa; Chordata; Lepidosauria; Squamata; Gekkonidae.
GCCCAGCAGUGAGUUCACGCCAAAAUGCAAACUUGGAGACGUACCCAAACAGGUGCCGGGGCUUCUCCCGUUUUUAACUAGACGGGAGAAGG